CGCGGCGCGGACGACGUGCGAUCUGGGGCUGGAUGCCGGGUACCCUGGCCUCUGCGCUUCCUGUUACAGAGUUUUUUUUUCUAAGAGGGAUUGGUGUCUGCGCCGCUUAAAGUGAGAGGAAGAGGAAGUGGCUCGGCGUGAGGCAUCCUCUCGGAUGGAGAAACCCGCGAACAGCAGCCGCGUCUAAUCCAUGGCCCCUGCUUCGCGGGGCAGGGCGCGACCACUGGUGGGCGACCUGGUGACAGCUCAUUCGUAUUUGUCCUUUUGUACAAAGCGGUUUACUGUAGUAGGUGGGGAGCAAGUGUUCUGGACCCUUUGGAGAAGAGUGCUGUUUAACAUUUCUUCCCAGGCCUACCCUGGGCUGGCUGUGUGGUCAGGUCACAGAUAAACAAAGCCUUGCACAAGCCUGAGAUCGAUAUGCUUAUAUAAAUAUAAGGUACUGAGGCAACACAAAAGAGGAAGGAUUAAUCCGUAGGACACGAGGCGAUGGCUGCCACGGUGUUUGAAGGGGAACCAAGUUUGUCAAACUGGAAAUGUGGGGAAAGACUCAGCAGUUCCAAGGGACACCAAUCUGGUCACCUGCCUUAAUCCGCUCAUCGCUCCACCUCCUUAGGCAUGUAUCUAGAAGGAAGUUUCUUUUGUCUAUUCAAUUUGAUAUUCUCUGUCUUUUAACAGAAAUAAACGGUUCCUCAAAUGCUCUUAGAAUCAGCUUUACCAUCCUACUGGUUCCCUCAUCAAUUAAAAUAAAAUCUCUGACAUGGG
Molecule: long non-coding RNA, 762 nt
Organism: Rhinolophus ferrumequinum (greater horseshoe bat)
Lineage: Eukaryota; Metazoa; Chordata; Mammalia; Chiroptera; Rhinolophidae
Exons: 3
Source: RefSeq, a predicted model, not a curated record